Long non-coding RNA from Sarcophilus harrisii (Tasmanian devil), 686 nucleotides. RefSeq lists it as uncharacterized. The record is from RefSeq and is a predicted model, not a curated record. NCBI's taxonomy places the organism in Eukaryota, Metazoa, Chordata, Mammalia, Dasyuromorphia, Dasyuridae. The transcript is spliced from 3 exons.
UCUCUGUUUCCUCACAAGCAAAGCCAGGAGCUCUCCUGAUCUGGUGACCCGGCUAUGAGUGACCAUCAAGAAAGGGACGGGGUCUGAAGGUCAUAAGACUCAGGGACAAACUGCUGCCCAGUGUCCCCCUGGUGGAUUCAAGGUUUCAGGUCACAGUUCUCUACUCAUGCCCUGUGGAGUCUGUUUUGGAAUUUUCUUUUGAAACAAAAAUCACUGUGCCCAAGCUUAAAAACAAAACCAAACCACAAAAACAAACUAUGAAGAGAAUAUUUAACUUAUACUCCAGAAAAAAAGCAAAUGGAAGGUAAGAGGAAAGAAUAAACUUUUUUACCCUUGGCUUUUAUACCUUGUUAUUCCUAAAAACUUUUUCUAAAGAUUUCCAGAUCUAUGAUCUCAGAUCACCCUCAUAUCAACUCCGUGGGAUAAUUAUGCAAUGUCUGAACCAGCUCGCUAUAGGAUCUCGAUACCAGCCCAACUCCUCGGUCUUAGGAGAGGAGUGAAGAGGCGGGACUCACGUGGAUGGUCAAAAGUAAGAGACUGGGAAGGACAAGGGCAAAGCCUGAUCUUUGCUAAGAACUGAUAAAUGCAGACGAGUGCAAAGGAGCCAGACAAAGAAAAGACAAAGUGCUCCGGUAUUUUUGCCAAGAAAGCCCAAAUGGGGUCACCCAGAGUCCUAUGUGAUUGAC